CGUCCACGGCCCCAUUUCCCAUUCAGAUCCCCGCCCUUAAUGUGGAAAAGGCUUUGCAUAAGCCGGAAAGACCUCGUGAGCUCCUCCAAUUCCCGGGCUCCAAUUUUGAGCCACCGAGGCAGAAGUUUUCCCAUCAGCGUUGCCCCUGUUACCCCACAUUCCUCUCUCCCGGCAGCCCACCCCAAACUCCGCCUGGCUGGGCGGGAAUGCCCUUAGGGGGUGGCGAUUGUCUGCACAGCAAGCCCUCCCCCAUCGCUCCCUGUCCAGGGGUCUCUCCAGGUUGGAGAGCGCCCCCAGUCUGGCGCCGGUUCGGGUGCACCCCUACCCCGAGCCCAGUCCGGCGUCCCCUUCACCGCGCGCCCGCCGCUGUCCCCGAGACGCGGCUCCGGGCCGUCACCCCGAUUUCGGGGCCCCGGGCCUGCUGGCUGCGUCGCAGACGUGCUUGGGCCCGGGCCCCGGAGCGCGCACAGGGCCCCGGAGCGCGCGCUGCUCCCGGAAAAGCACUUACUUUGCACCGAGCCCGGGAAGCUCUCGCCCUCGCUGCUCGAGUUCAUGGCGUAGACUGGAUCUUGGGCUGCACUCCAGCCGUGUCAGCUCCGUUUAACUCAAUGAUUUGGUGACUUCUUUUGGAUCUCAGAAGGGCCCAAGGAACGCCACCCGUGAGUUUAGUAGUGAAGACAUACUGCCGAGAUUAAGCAAGGCUCCUGCAGUGCAUGCAGUGAUGCCAGCCACUCCAGAAGGCAUAAGGUCAACCUCCUGGAGCCCCGAGAAGAGUGAAGACAGUGGAGAGGAA
Molecule: long non-coding RNA, 793 nt
Organism: Nycticebus coucang (slow loris)
Lineage: Eukaryota; Metazoa; Chordata; Mammalia; Primates; Lorisidae
Exons: 3
Source: RefSeq, a predicted model, not a curated record